GUUGUUCUUGAUUACUUUUCUGGAUUUCUGCAUCCUCACAAGAGCAGAGAAAUUCGUCGAUUGCCUUCUUGUCGACAGAUAUAUCUGCUUCUGCAGCUGCAGUUCCAUUGCUUUUCUGACUUGAUGCAUUGGAAUUAAGGCAGUUAUAUAAUGCCUGCAUUGUGCUUAUUGAAGAUAGUUGGGAACAGAGCAUCUUUGCAGGAAGCAAGAUUGACCACAAUUAGCAAGCCAUGAUCUCCACAUUUUCCUCGUCUUCAUCACCAUUUAUUAUUCAGAUAGACAAAUUAGAAUUUGUACCUCAGUUUCAUGAUCAAACUUUUAUAUCAUC
Long non-coding RNA from Dioscorea cayenensis subsp. rotundata (Guinea yam), 328 nucleotides. RefSeq lists it as uncharacterized. The record is from RefSeq and is a predicted model, not a curated record. The transcript is spliced from 3 exons. Lineage: Eukaryota; Viridiplantae; Streptophyta; Magnoliopsida; Dioscoreales; Dioscoreaceae.